GUUUGAUCCUGGCUCAGAUUGAACGCUGGCGGCAUGCCUUACACAUGCAAGUCGAACGGCAGCACGGGGGCAACCCUGGUGGCGAGUGGCGAACGGGUGAGUAAUACAUCGGAACGUGCCCAGUAGUGGGGGAUAGCCCGGCGAAAGCCGGAUUAAUACCGCAUACGACCUACGGGUGAAAGCGGGGGAUCGCAAGACCUCGCGCUAUUGGAGCGGCCGAUGUCAGAUUAGGUUGUUGGUGAGGUAAAAGCUCACCAAGCCGACGAUCUGUAGCUGGUCUGAGAGGACGACCAGCCACACUGGGACUGAGACACGGCCCAGACUCCAACGGGAGGCAGCAGUGGGGAAUUUUGGACAAUGGGGGCAACCCUGAUCCAGCCAUGCCGCGUGCGGGAAGAAGGCCUUCGGGUUGUAAACCGCUUUUGUCAGGGAAGAAAUCUUUUGGGCUAAUACCCCAGAGGGAUGACGGUACCUGAAGAAUAAGCACCGGCUAACUACGUGCCAGCAGCCGCGGUAAUACGUAGGGUGCAAGCGUUAAUCGGAAUUACUGGGCGUAAAGCGUGCGCAGGCGGUUGUGCAAGACAGGUGUGAAAUCCCCGGGCUUAAACCUGGGAACUGCACUUGUGACUGCACAGCUGAGUACGCCAGAGGGAGGGCUGUACUGACGCUCAUGCACGAAAGCGUGGGGAGCAAAACAGGAUUAGAUACCCUGGUAGUCCACGCCCUAAACGAUGUCAACUGGUUGUUGGGAAGGUUCCUUCUCAGUAACGUAGCUAACGCGUGAAGUUGACCGCCUGGGGAGUACGGCCGCAAGGUUGAAACUCAAAGGAAUUGACGGGGACCCGCACAAGCGGUGGAUGAUGUGGUUUAAUUCGAUGCAACGCGAAAAACCUUACCUACCCUUGACAUGUCUGGAAUUCUGCAGAGAUGUGGAAGUGCUCGAAAGAGAGCCAGAACACAGGUGCUGCAUGGCCGUCGUCAGCUCGUGUCGUGAGAUGUUGGGUUAAGUCCCGCAACGAGCGCAACCCUUGUCAUUAGUUGCUACGAAAGGGCACUCUAAUGAGACUGCCGGUGGCAAACCGGAGGAAGGUGGGGAUGACGUCAGGUCCUCAUGGCCCUUAUGGGUAGGGCUACACACGUCAUACAAUGGCCGGUACAGAGGGCUGCCAACCCGCGAGGGGGAGCUAAUCCCAGAAAACCGGUCGUAGUCCGGAUCGCAGUCUGCAACUCGACUGCGUGAAGUCGGAAUCGCUAGUAAUCGCGGAUCAGCUUGCCGCGGUGAAUACGUUCCCGGGUCUUGUACACACCGCCCGUCACACCAUGGAGC
RNAcentral lists this ribosomal RNA (1327 nucleotides) under uncultured fungus. RNAcentral describes it as "partial 16S ribosomal RNA". It matches the Rfam family "Bacterial small subunit ribosomal RNA". The record is from RNAcentral. Lineage: Eukaryota; Fungi.